Molecule: ribosomal RNA, 381 nt
Filed under: uncultured eukaryote
Lineage: Eukaryota
Description: partial 18S ribosomal RNA
Rfam family: Eukaryotic small subunit ribosomal RNA
Source: RNAcentral
CAAUAGCGUAUAUUAAAGCUGUUGCGGUUAAAAAGCUCGUAGUUGGAUUUCUGUCAAGGACAACUGGUCCGCCCUCCGGGUGGGCACAUAGUUUGGUCUUGACAUCUUGCUGGAAGCUGUUGCUGCACUUGGCUGUGUGGCGCAGUGUUCAGCACUUUCACUUUGAGGAAAUUGGAGUGUUUCAAGCAGGCACAUGCCUUUGGACACAGUAGCAUGGAAUAAUUAGAUUGGGCUUUUGCUCCAAUUUGUCGGUUUCUGGAGCUGAGGUGAGUAUUAAUGGGGAUUGUUGGGGGCAUCCGAAUUUAGCCGUCAGAGGUGAAAUUCUUGGAUCUGCUAAAGACGGACAACUGCGAAAGCGUUUGCCCAGGAUGUUUUCAUUGA